GCUGGGUUCACAAGGAGUCAAAUGUAACCAGUCUCACUGGAUUUAGUUACCAGACAGUGUCAAAAUGGCCAUUAGAAGCUUGCAGUAUGUUUCUCUCUCUCUCCCUUCGAUUUGCUUGGUUGUUGGAGCUAGUAACCAGCAUUUAUGGCGGCUGAGGAGGAUCACCAACCUGCUGGAGCAACUGGAAGGCUUCAUCGGUGCUGCUGGGUCACUGGAAAAGAAGAAAGGCAAGGAGGGGGAUUAGUUGGCAUGAAGAAGGACGAAGGGAGGGGGAAGAAAU
This 280-nucleotide unclassified non-coding RNA is filed under the name Hevea brasiliensis (rubber tree). The record is from RNAcentral. Lineage: Eukaryota; Viridiplantae; Streptophyta; Magnoliopsida; Malpighiales; Euphorbiaceae.